GAUAGUUCUCUCUCUCAGCACUAGUAAAUCUUUAGCAUUUGCAUUUUGCCAUUCAGCACUAGCAAUUCUUGUUAGUCUGAAACGACCUACGCUUGAAUGCAGGAUUAUUGAUGUCAUAUUAGAAGUCGCUUAGCCAUUUGCAUUUGGCAUACCAUGGUCGGCUUCUGGAUUUGCACAUUAUGGAUAGGAACACCUAAAAAUUACCGCUAUCUCUCUCUCUCUUUUCAAGCAAGAUUAGUAUUUUUUUCACUAACAAAUUAAUAAUUAAAAUUAGGGUUAAUCACGCUUUGUUUCCCUAACUUUCACCCUUCUUAAAUCCAAUCCAAUUGAGCAAAAUUUCAUACUUCAAUUUCAAUUUCGGUUUAGUCAAACUUUAAAACGUGUUUUCAUAUAUAUCAAAAUUUGUUACCCAAACUAGCCACAUAAAAAUCACAAUAAAAUUUGAUCAAAAAAAAAAAAUCACAAUAAAAUAAAAAUUAAAUUAAGAUCAAUUAAAAAUAUUCCCUUUGUCCCAUUUCGAAUGUCUCAAAACAUCGGACGGAGGGAGUAUAUAUUAGUAUAUUAAAUAAAUUCUUAUAAAUAAAAAAUUCAUUUGUUCGAUUUGUUUUUCAAUUUUGCUUGCCCAUAGACAAGUGUGUUGUUGUUCUACACUUACAUCGUCAAAACACACUGUACCAAAAAAUGGCAAUUCGAUUCUUGCUAUCCCUAAUUAUUACAAUGAAAACUGCAAAAGUAAAAAAAUUGGAACUGAAUCUAUAUAAAUCAUGCAAUGUGUAUAAAAAUUCAUGAGGUCAACAAGUUUAAAAUGUACAGAUCAACGAUUCAAAAAAAAAAUGUACAAAUCAACAACAACUGAAAAAUAAAAUAUAUGUGAACUUUAUUUAAUAAAUAAAGAAAUUUAAAGAUCACAAACCUUGAAUAUUAAUUAUCUAUGGCUAAGCUAACAUGUGUGAACUUAAUUACAAGCAAAGAAGUUUAAAAUAAUAUUUCUCCAACUAAUAAUUUAUUCUAACUUGUAUAAGCAUAAGAUCAAGUACUCAAAAUGUGGACGAGGAGAUUAGAGCUUUUAUUACAUUUAUCAGGCAACAAAAAUGCACCUCGAGAAAAACAGUUAACAUGUACUCCACUAUAUAAGAAUUUCCACGUAUAUUGCUCUAAAAAAAGAAAAUUCUACGUAUGUUAAUAAAAGUAUUAAAAAUGUGUUAUGGACAAGGAAUGUAUUCAAACUAGUAUUUUGCCCGUGCGAUGCACGGGUGUUAUAUUUUUUUAGAUAUUAUAAUUUUUAUUUUUUUCUUUAAAAAAAUUAUUAUAUUUUUUAUUUUAUAUUAGUAUUAAUUAAAUUAUAUAUUAUAUAAAAAUAAUGUAAUUGUGAUGAGUUAAUAUUUUUUUUUAAGUGGUUAUAAAUUUAGGAAUAUAUCUUCGUAAGUGACAUGAAAUCACCAAUCAUAUACUAUAUCAAUAAUUUGAAGUGAAAUUGUCUAAAAAAUGUUUAAAGUGAAAUUAACUAAACGAUGAGUUGCGAUCAUAUUUAUUAAGCUUCACUAUUAUGUACACAUCAUUUAUUUUAUACACUUAUUUUAAAAUUUAAUAAUAAUUAUGCAAGCAAUAAUUUAUUAUUGAAAUCCAUAAAAUUAAACAUAUUUUGUUGUUGAUUUUAUCAUAGCCAUUAAAAAUAAUGUAUUUACAAUUUUUUCAAUGAACACAUGAUCUGCUUAUAUAUAUAAAUGUAGCUUUCAGAUUAGACGGUUGCACUCGCGUUCAAACUCUGACCCGCGCUCAAAUACAAACCCGCUUCCUGAUUCGAACUUUGUAAAUAACACUAUUCAAUUAUACAAAUGACAGUGUCUAUAAUUGACUCUAUUCGGUUAUACAAAUGACACCGCGUAUAAUUGACAUUAUAAUAUUGUAAAUGACAUUGUGUAUAAUUGACACUAUUCAUAAAUAUAAACGACACUUCAUGUCAUUGACAUCAUAAAAUUGUAAAUGACACUAUAAUGUUUCAAAAUGUUAUAGUGUAAUUUGUAUAACUGAAUAAUGUUAAUUAUAGACAGUGACAUUUGUAUAACUGAAUAGUGUCAUUUACAUUAUUUGAAUCAAGAUGCGGGUUAAAGUAUGAGUGCGGGUAUAACCCGAUUCUACAGUGCACCCAAUAGCACAUAAGUUUUUGUGUUCUGAUUAAUUGUUUACCUAUUUUUAUAAACGACAAAUUAGUGUUGCUGAUUAUUUUGUUUCAAAAUCUAAACAAUUUAACAAUUAUCAUCUAAUUUCAUGAAGAAAAUGCAUAUUACCUAAAAAAAAUACUCCAUCUUAACUAUUUUUUUUCCAUAUCAUCGUUUUCAAUUUUAGGGUGAAAUUGAUUUUUUUUUUAAUCUUUUAACCUAUAUAAAUAAUUAAAAAAAUUAAUUUUAUUUAUGUCUCACUGAACAUAUUUUCUACUAACACUUCCUAUCCAUACAAUCAUUUUACACAAAAACAAUUUUUUUUAUAUAUUUUGACGAUAAUUAUUAAGUUUAGAAUAAAUUAAUGUGGUUUAAGAACCUAAUGUUAUUAGUGUAUUAUAUGAGAGAUUAUUUUUUACCAAAAAAAUAUCAUUAUACUUUUGUAGUAUUAAUUCUUAUGAAAUCCAAUAUUUUAAGAUAAAUAUAUAUGCUAAUUCAAUUGAGCAUUUAUAUUGACAAUGAGAACAAAUUAUAGUCGUAAUUUAAUAGAUCAGAAAUAGAACUUGCUAGUAUAAAUAAAAAUCAGCAUUAAUUAUGUAAAUAAAUGUUGAAAUUAAUAUUGAAUUGUGUAAAUUAAUUAAUUAAUUAAGGUUAAAAUUAAUGCUACACUUUGGGCGGGAAAAUAGUAUAGGCAUAUUGGUUCCACUUUUAUAUAGAUAUAUAGAUUGUAUACACAUUUAAGUCCAUGUUUGGUAUAUACAUACAUACAUAUUUACAUACAUGCAUAUCACUUCAUAGGAUUGAGUUAUAACAUGAACCUUAUUUAGUAUAAAAAUUAUGAAUUUUGUACUUUAAGUUAUAAAGUAAUUACACUUAACUUAUAAAAUAAUUGCAAUUUUGUGAUCUUGUAAAUCAUUGCAAUUGUGCCUUUUAUGAGUUUCCAACCUAGAACCAUCAAAGUGUAAAUAUAUGUUGAAUAGAUACAGUUCAUAAUUUUACGUUACAGUGAAGUUUUUAUUUGAACCACUCCUCCGCUUUAUAUAAAGAAAAGUAAAUACUCUUAAUAGUUGAAAUUACUAUUAUAUGGAAGUGUCUUCAUGGAGGAGAGAGGAUUGCUUUNUUUGCCAUUCAGCACUAGCAAUUCUUGUUAGUCUGAAACGACCUACGCUUGAAUGCAGGAUUAUUGAUGUCAUAUUAGAAGUCGCUUAGCCAUUUGCAUUUGGCAUACCAUGGUCGGCUUCUGGAUUUGCACAUUAUGGAUAGGAACACCUAAAAAUUACCGCUAUCUCUCUCUCUCUUUUCAAGCAAGAUUAGUAUUUUUUUCACUAACAAAUUAAUAAUUAAAAUUAGGGUUAAUCACGCUUUGUUUCCCUAACUUUCAC
Molecule: long non-coding RNA, 3541 nt
Filed under: Salvia miltiorrhiza (redroot sage)
Lineage: Eukaryota; Viridiplantae; Streptophyta; Magnoliopsida; Lamiales; Lamiaceae
Description: long non-coding RNA (SMIL_LNC005978)
Source: RNAcentral